Molecule: microRNA, 19 nt
Filed under: Callorhinchus milii (elephant shark)
Lineage: Eukaryota; Metazoa; Chordata; Chondrichthyes; Chimaeriformes; Callorhinchidae
Description: eshark_NOVEL_168
Source: RNAcentral
UAUUGUGUUUGUCUCUGCC